Molecule: ribosomal RNA, 975 nt
Filed under: Salmonella enterica
Lineage: Bacteria; Pseudomonadati; Pseudomonadota; Gammaproteobacteria; Enterobacterales; Enterobacteriaceae
Description: partial 23S ribosomal RNA
Rfam family: Bacterial large subunit ribosomal RNA
Source: RNAcentral
ACAGGGUGACAGCCCCGUACACAAAAGCGCAUGUGCUGUGAGCUCGAUGAGUAGGGCGGGACACGUGGUAUCCUGUCUGAAUAUGGGGGGACCAUCCUCCAAGGCUAAAUACUCCUGACUGACCGAUAGUGAACCAGUACCGUGAGGGAAAGGCGAAAAGAACCCCGGCGAGGGGAGUGAAAAAGAACCUGAAACCGUGUACGUACAAGCAGUGGGAGCACAGGUUUACCUGUGUGACUGCGUACCUUUUGUAUAAUGGGUCAGCGACUUAUAUUCUGUAGCAAGGUUAACCGAAUAGGGGAGCCGGAGGGAAACCGAGUCUUAAUUGGGCGUUAAGUUGCAGGGUAUAGACCCGAAACCCGGUGAUCUAGCCAUGGGCAGGUUGAAGGUUGGGUAACACUAACUGGAGGACCGAACCGACUAAUGUUGAAAAAUUAGCGGAUGACCUGUGGCUGGGGGUGAAAGGCCAAUCAAACCGGGAGAUAGCUGGUUCUCCCCGAAAGCUAUUUAGGUAGCGCCUCGUGAAUUCAUCUCCGGGGGUAGAGCACUGUUUCGGCUAGGGGGCCAUCCCGGCUUACCAACCCGAUGCAAACUGCGAAUACCGGAGAAUGUUAUCACGGGAGACACACGGCGGGUGCUAACGUCCGUCGUGAAGAGGGAAACAACCCAGACCGCCAGCUAAGGUCCCAAAGUCAUGGUUAAGUGGGAAACGAUGUGGGAAGGCCCAGACAGCCAGGAUGUUGGCUUAGAAGCAGCCAUCAUUUAAAGAAAGCGUAAUAGCUCACUGGUCGAGUCGGCCUGCGCGGAAGAUGUAACGGGGCUAAACCAUGCACCGAAGCUGCGGCAGCGACGCUUAUGCGUUGUUGGGUAGGGGAGCGUUCUGUAAGCCUGUGAAGGUGGCCUGUGAGGGUUGCUGGAGGUAUCAGAAGUGCGAAUGCUGACAUAAGUAACGAUAAAGCGGGUGAAAAGCCCGCU